RNAcentral lists this ribosomal RNA (250 nucleotides) under uncultured bacterium. RNAcentral describes it as "partial 16S ribosomal RNA". It matches the Rfam family "Bacterial small subunit ribosomal RNA", at positions 524 to 773 of the family's 1533-position model. The record is from RNAcentral.
UACGGAGGGUGCUAGCGUUGUUCGGAAUGACUGGGCGUAAAGGGCGCGUAGGCGGUUAUGUUAGUUAGAUGUGAAAUCCCAGGGCUUAACCUUGGAAUUGCAUUUAAUACUGCAUGACUUGAGAUCGGAAGAGGAAAGCGGAAUUCCUAGUGUAGAGGUGAAAUUCGUAGAUAUUAGGAGGAACAUCAGAGGCGAAGGCGGCUUUCUGGUCCGCAUCUGACGCUGAGGCGCGAAAGCGUGGGGAGCAAAC